UUCACAGUGUGGGAGACUGAGUGCCUUCCCCAUUCUACAAAGAAGGCAUGUCAAGGGCAGCCAUGGAACAAGCUUACUCACUGGGCAAUUGUAUUUUGACCCUGCCCCUUUCGGGAUCACCCACUUCUAGGGUAGAGAGUAAUUUAGCUUCCAUGCCCAUUCAAGCCCACACCUCU
Molecule: small RNA, 176 nt
Filed under: Lepisosteus oculatus (spotted gar)
Lineage: Eukaryota; Metazoa; Chordata; Actinopteri; Semionotiformes; Lepisosteidae
Description: TUC338 (ENSLOCG00000018643.1)
Source: RNAcentral